UACUAGAGUAGCACUCGCAUAUCAAUAAGCGGAGGAAAAGAAACUAACAAGGAUUCCCCUAGUAACGGCGAGUGAAGCGGGAAGAGCUCAAAUUUGAAAUCUUAAAGGGUUUCCCUUUACGAAUUGUAGUUUAAAGAAGUGUUUUCUGUUGAGGUUUUGGUAAAAGUUCUUUGGAAUAGGACAUCAUAGAGGGUGAGAAUCCCGUAUUUGACCUUUACUUUCAACUUUGUGAUACACUUUCAAAGAGUCGGAUUGUUUGGGAAUGCAGUCCAAAAUGGGUGGUAAAUUUCAUCUAAAGCUAAAUAUUGGCGAGAGACCGAUAGCGAACAAGUACCGUGAGGGAAAGAUGAAAAGAACUUUGAAAAGAGAGUUAAACAGUACGUGAAAUUGUCAAAAGGGAAGCGUUUGACACCAGCGUUGUUUUUCUGAAAAUCAAUUAAAGAACUGUUUAUGCUAAGUUGUUUAGACUUUAUCAGCUAACUGUUUAGUUUUGAGCUUUUCUUUAAUGCACUUUUCAGUUAACAAGUCAACAUCAAUUUCUUUUGCUGUAAAAAAGCUUGAGGAAGGUGGCUUGAGAUUCGUCUUAAGUGUUUAUAGCCUCUUGCCUAUGCAGUCGGAGAGAUUGAGGUCUGCAGCGUAGAUCCUUCGGGGCUAAAUGCAUUUGUGCUAAGUUAUAGCAUUUUAUAGACAACUUGUUGACUAUGAUUUGUCUUGUAGCUUACUCGCUUAUGUUAUUUUACCUACGCUUAGGAUGUUGAGCGCAUGUCUCUCUCU
RNAcentral lists this ribosomal RNA (774 nucleotides) under uncultured Neocallimastigales. Its description in RNAcentral is "partial large subunit ribosomal RNA". It matches the Rfam family "Eukaryotic large subunit ribosomal RNA", at positions 20 to 616 of the family's 3401-position model. Lineage: Eukaryota; Fungi; Neocallimastigomycota; Neocallimastigomycetes; Neocallimastigales. The record is from RNAcentral.